RNAcentral lists this ribosomal RNA (249 nucleotides) under uncultured bacterium. RNAcentral's name for it is "partial 16S ribosomal RNA". It matches the Rfam family "Bacterial small subunit ribosomal RNA", at positions 15 to 245 of the family's 1533-position model. The record is from RNAcentral.
GAUCCUGGCUCAGGAUGAACGCUGGCGGCGUGCUUAACACAUGCAAGUCGAACGAAGCACUUUAACCUGAUUCUUCGGAUUAAGGUUUUGUUGACUGAGUGGCGGACGGGUGAGUAACGCGUGGGUAACCUGCCUCAUACAGGGGGAGUAACAGUUAGAAAUGACUGCUAAUACCGCAUAAGACCACGGAGCCGCAUGGCUCAGUGGGAAAAACUCCGGUGGUAUGAGAUGGACCCGCGUCUGAUUAGG